AGAGGUGUAGCUAAUUGGUAGAGCACUUGCCUAACAUGUGAGAGGCCAUGGGUUUGACCCUCAUCUCUG
This 69-nucleotide transfer RNA is filed under the name Cavia porcellus (domestic guinea pig). It matches the Rfam family "tRNA". From Rfam's summary of the family: Transfer RNA (tRNA) molecules are approximately 80 nucleotides in length. Their secondary structure includes four short double-helical elements and three loops (D, anti-codon, and T loops). Further hydrogen bonds mediate the characteristic L-shaped molecular structure. tRNAs have two regions of fundamental functional importance: the anti-codon, which is responsible for specific mRNA codon recognition, and the 3' end, to which the tRNAs corresponding amino acid is attached (by aminoacyl-tRNA synthetases). tRNAs cope with the degeneracy of the genetic code in two manners: having more than one tRNA (with a specific anti-codon) for a particular amino acid; and 'wobble' base-pairing, i.e. permitting non-standard base-pairing at the 3rd anti-codon position. Lineage: Eukaryota; Metazoa; Chordata; Mammalia; Rodentia; Caviidae. The record is from Rfam by way of RNAcentral.